GCUUCCUAGAAGACAAAUUUAUAAAAAAAAUAAUAUUUAGAUUUGCUUAUGCAAAUGUUUAAAUUAGAUUUUUUAUUUAUUUUUGGCAUUUACAUACAGCCCUUUACAAUAUAUGUUCCAAAGCAGUUUACAAAUAAAGUUAAACAACACAACAAUUCAAACAGCACAGUGCAAACUUCUCUCUCUGGAGUUUAUAAUAUACUAAGGCUAGAAGUCCUCCAAAAAACUGGGCUCUAAAGGCCAAUGGAUACUCCACCACAGACAUCAAAAGAGCUGCAAGGCCAAGAACAAGCCAUGAGAGUCAAGACAAAGAUCCACCCAGAGGAAUGGUGCUCUUACACCAUCAAGGGAACCACUGACCGCAUAGGCAAACUGAUGAAGAAGCACAAUCUACAAACUAUCUACAGACCCACAAAGAAAAUCCAACAAAUGCUAGAGCCCAGUUUAGGUGGUUUAGUUCACCUUGGAGGAGGUGAGGUUCGCAGAUUCUUUGUGCACGGUCUGUCAGGGCUUUUAUUGUGUCACGACCCAGGCUGCAGAGCACCAAUAACCAAACACAGAGGCCAGAAUCUAUCUAAUAUCUUUAUUAAGGAAAUGUAUAAAGUUAAUAAAAGCAAGCGUAGGAAAUAGUUCAGAAGUAGACCUUUCAGGAAAGGUCAAAAUUAGUCCAAAGAAACAAUGUCCAAUAUGAAAUAUUAAGGUCCAAAGUUGUAAUCCAAUAACCGAAACACCCACUUUGCCAGGCAAAGUGAGGGGAGAUGACAAGGUUCUUAGUCCAAGGAACUUGAUGUAAGGCUAGGAAGUAAACUUGAUUCUUGGAACACAAGGCUUGAUACAAGGCAACAAGGUACGAGGAACAGGGACAAGAUCCGUGGUAAAUACUUGGCAAGGUCCUGGAAAGCAAAGCAAGGUCCGUGAAGCAAAACAAGGCUGGGAACGUGAACGAAGGCUUGGAAACAGGAACGAAGGCUUGGAAACGGGAGUAACGCUGUCCACACACAACCUACUCCAGUUGCUGACGAAUUGACUCCGCAAAAUUCCUUCAGGGCAAGGAACCUAAAUAGGGUCCCGUUCCCACCAAAGAACACUUCUCUGGGGAACCAGAACCGAAAGUCAAUCUCUGUGUCCAGAUGCAUGACUCCCUAAAGGUUCUCAUGAAAGCAGUCUUAAUCAGCUGAAUGCCUGGCUGCGAUUCUCAGGCUUCUGCGAUUAGCCUGUUGAACUCCUUUUUGUUGUUGAUAAUAACUACGGCGAGAAAAUGGGGGAGAUUUUGACUCAGGGCUUGUUUGGCAGAUUUCUGGAAGACAAUCCUCCUGCAGGUGCAAGGGCUCCAGUUCUGGCUGGGAAAGUUCCAAUUCUGGCUGAAAUGGUGGAAAACCCAAGUUUUCCUCUUCAUCUGCCACAACAGCGCUAGGAACGGGACUACAUGGCCCAUGAGUCAUCACAGAUUGUGUUCCAUAAAAAAUUUGCUACUACUGGGCUACUACGGUCAGCGAAAGACAAGAGGGAUCCUCUCUCCUCUGCAGAAGUCUAUCUGAUACCAUGCAGCUGUGGACAAGUAUACAUAGGGACCACCAAACACAGCGCCCAAACAAGAGUCAAAGAACAUGAAAGGCACUGCAGACUAAUUCAACCAGAGAAAUCAGCCAUAGCAGAGACUUGAUGAACCAACCUGGACACAGUAUAUUAUGUGAGAACACAGAAAUGCUGGACCACUCCAACAACUAUCAUGUCAGACUACACAGAGAAGCCAUUGAAAUCCACAAGCAUGUGGACAACUUCAACAGAAAGGAGGAAACCAUGAAAAUGAACAAAAUCUGGCUACCAGUAUUAAAAAACUCUAAAAUCAAAACAGUAGAUGGGAAGCAACACUCUGAAGGAAGAGGAGCCCCAAGGACGGCUAUUGACUGAACAAAGGAUCUCCCCAGGCAACAGACAAAAACCUUUCCAAUGCUAAUUAGGGUGAUUAAAUGAAACAUUAAUGCUGGCUUCCCAGUGACAAAGGUCUCUUGCCACACCCUGGACUCUCUACAGAUAUAUAUAUUUUUCCUUUCCUAGUUUAUCCAUACCUCACAACCUCUGAGGAUGCCUGCCAUAGAUGUGGGAGAAACAUCAGGAGAGAAUACUUCUGGAACAUGGCCACAUAGCCCGAAAGACAUACAACAACCGCAAUGUUUUAUUUGUUUGUUUACCCACCCCAUUGCUGCUUUUAAUAGUCAAGUGGCCUUUCUUCCCCUUGCAAGCUCUGGAGAAAGUGAAGUCUCUUCUACCGUGAGGGCGGGCGGCAGCAGCAGAGGAGGCUGAAAGAGGCAGCCAGGCUUCUUUUUCUGCUGGCGCUCCAGCGAGCCACGCCAGGAAACAUGGAGUCCCACCCCGGUUGGGUGCCCUAUGGCAGCCAUGGCGUCAGCAGGGGGCUUCUUCUUCCUAGAAGCCCCGUGUGGUGGGAAUUUUUCUCGCCGCUUGGCCAGCUAGCCAAUCAGCAGCAGGCCGGCCCUGCCUCUUGGCAGAGCGGCAGCAGCAAGAGCAACAGCGAGGAGCACGGCAGCAGCAAGACCAGCAGCUGCAGGAUUGGAGGCGGCGAUUUCAACAGCGGCAAAUUCGGUGACGGCAACCCUUGCGGCGGUGAGGACUUCCUGGUGUCCCUACCACCGCCAAGAGGCUGCAACAGGAAGUCCUCACUCUCCCUGGGGUUUGCAAGGGGGAGAAAGGCCACUUAACUAUUAAAAUAACGUUUAUAUGUUAAAAUAAAAAUAGUGACUCUACUUCGUGGUUUUUCACUUUUCAUGGGUAGGCCUGGAACCUAACCCCUGCAAAAAGUGAGGGAGCACUGUACAUAUUUAUAAUCUUAGGGCAUCAGUGCCCUCUAGCUUAAUAAUGAUCAAAAUUUCAUCAAAAGGUGUACUUAUCCCAAAAUUUGAGUCUAAGAAUCUUGAAACAGAGUAUUAAACUUAGUUCAAAAUUCUGAUUACAUUAUUUCCUAAUUACCGUCUUCCCUGACUUUUCAUAGAUGUCAAUUUUCUAUGUGACGUGGCAAAGGUCACACAGGAUAUUUCUAUAACAAGCAGGGAUUCUAACCCUGAUCCCCAAUCAUCACCUAAUGCUUUAGCUUCUCGAACCAUUCCCUUAACAACUGGUUUUCCUCUAACAAAUAUUCCAACAGCUGUUUCUCACCUGCACCAAUGAUCAGAGGAAUUGGGACAAUUCUGAACACAGAAAAAAGGGUCAGAAGCAAAAACUGAAAUUAUGUGCCAUCACUAUCACAACCGCAUUUUGUUCCAACACUCCUGCCUUAAUGUGAUAAUUUAAUUCACCUUUAUUACUAUCACUACUCUAUUUUAGCUGUAUUUUGUUCUAAUAUAUGUAGUGAGAUGCCUUGAGUCCCAUGCUGGAAGAGCUGCAAAAUUGAAACCGAAAGAAAGAAAGAAAAAAAAAGAAUAGAUCUAAGCAACAUUUGUUACUGCUUGGCAGUACAGUAUUUUUAAAAACAGGGCUGGCCAGAGAUGGAGAAUGAUUCCAAGGGCUAGAUGUAAAUAGUGCACAUGUAAAUUGAUGUAACCAAAGUGGCCUAACAACUAAAAGAACAACAAAAUAGUUUACUGCAUGCUGCUGCAGCAAAAAGCUGAUGCUGAAAUGCUGUUUUUACUGACCUUGACACUCUGAUAAAUUGCUAAGACAAAUGUUACAGAGAUCUGCUUUUAAAAGAAACAUAAGCAAGUAAGAAACACAGGAGGAAUUGGUACGCAAGCUGUAUUGCUAAUGCCUUCCACAGGGCCCCUUGCUUGUCGGACUAUAAAAAGAAAGUUUUUUCUGGCAUUUUUAAAAUGCCAGAAAAGAGCCUUGCAGCCAAGGACUCAUUUGGAGGUAACUUUUAUUGGCCAUUAGCAAGCAGCUAAUGCAAACCUCCAUUACUUAGGGGUGACUGCUUCCACAUAACUCCAUCCUGAUUUCAUGUGAAAGCUUUGUUUAACUGCUGCAGCAUCUUUAAUGCAAAAAUAAAAUAAUAAAAUAAAAAGCCAGACAUAUUAAGAUAAUAUGAGCGUAAAAAGACAUCAGAUUUUAUGAAAAUAACAAAGUGAUUGAAAUCCUGAUGGUCACUUGUUUGCUGCUGCCUUCGUCUGAAUAUAGGCAGUCCUCCCUACUUGUGGACUUAGCUUUUGCAGAUAUUAUUUAUGGAUUUGAAUAAUAUGCUCUCUGAAGGAAUCUCUAGGUCCUGCAGAAGUUGACCAUGGAGCUGUGAUGGAAGACAUACACAGGCCUAGACAAGUGUUCUCUCGAUUUCUAAAAAAGGUAUUUUCCCCCACUUUUGCAGGGGUCCUGCAUCCCUUAUUAUCACAGAAUUGGAUGGCCUUCUGCAAAGCAUAUAACAUCUGAUUAUUUGCUGGUGGUAUUUUUUUUUUAAGAAUAUAUGGAAACGCCCCUGGUUUUGCUAUUUUUUUUUUUCAUGUACAGCACCGGUGUGUGCGCUCCAGGCCUUUUGUGGUAUUUGAAAAAGCACUGCAGACUAACUCAACCAGAGAAGGCAGCCAUAGCAGAGCACUUGAUGAACCAACCUGGACAUCAAAUAUUAUUUGAGAAUACAGAAAUACUGGACCACUCCAACAACUAUCAUGUCAGACUACACAGAAAAGCCACUGAAAUCCACAAGCAUGUGGACAAUUUCAAGAGAAAGGAGGAAACCAUGAAAAUGAACAAAAUCUGGCUACCAGUAUUAAAAAAAAAAUCUAAAAUCAGAACAGUAAAUAAAGAACAACACUCUGAAAACAGAGGAAAUCCAGACAUGAAUCAAUCAGGGGCAGUUAACACCUGCGAACAAAGGGUUCCCCCAGGCAGGAAGAAGCCAGGCAGUGAAGCUGGCAAGGCCAUUAAUGAUAAUCAAGGUGAUUAAUUACAACAUUCACACAGGCAUCCAACAGACAAGAGUUCUUUCUCCCACCCUAGACCUUCCACAGAUAUAUAAAUCUCCCUUGCUUAGUUUUCCAAUAUACCUCACAACCUCUGAGGAUGCCUGCCAUAGAUGUGGGCAAAAUGUCAUGAGAGAAUCCUUCUGGAACAUAGCCAUACAGCCCAGAAACCUCACAACAACCCAGUGAUACCGGCUAUGACAACACAGUAUUUGAAAAUGUUUAAGCAAUUACAUGCACAGGAAAAAAUAAAUAUGUUGGGACAACCAUCUGUCCAAGUUGCAUUUUGAGAAAAACUCUGUGCAAAUUUUAUUUUCUAAAAAUAUUUUGGUUAGCAUGGUGUGGAGUUAAGAGCCACUGUGAGAUUUUUACUGGCAUCCUCAUUAGAAAGACUUAAAUAUAAUUUCUUGUAUCUGAGACAACAGGAAGGGAGAAGAAAUCUACUAUAGGAAGGGAAACUUACUUUUGUAAGAGUUAUGUGGAAAAGGUGUCUCUACUGAAGCUUUAUCGCCAAUCUUUGUUUCCACAAGUCAAAUGUUUCAAAAUCCAAUGAUCACAGAGAAAGAAAGUGAGGUGAAAUCUUCUGAACAGGGGAACAGACAGCAAAAGAAACACCUCAGGGGUGUUAACCCUUCCCUAUGCUAUUCAACACUACCGCAAAACUGACACGAGUUCCAUGUAAAAAAUGUUCCGACAUGCAUACAAAUUCAACGUACCGGUAUGAAUAAACCAACAGAACCUAUCGUAACUUGGGGAUUGCCUGUAAUAGGAAACAGAACUUAGAACAAAUCCAAGGCUUAUACCGGUUUUAUAUAAAUUGUAUGACCAUAACCUCCUUUCCCCCCUGCAAUGUCUUAGAAUUCAGCAAUGAUCAGACUGAAAAUAAUUCUUUCAAGGUAUUUUAGCUUAACAUAGACAUUUCCAAAAUUUUCUGAAAUGCGAAAACAUAGUUAACAAAGGCAGAAAUAUGAAUACUGUAUGUUGCCUGCAUUGAAAACUAAACCAAACAUUCGAUCAUUAAUUGAUACACAAGGUAACAACAUGUCAUUUGUUGUUGCUGCAGCCACACAUUUUAAAAAUACUAUUUUGCUGCCAUUUUUUCUGAAACUCCAAAAAAUACAAGUUUACUUUCAGAAACCUAUCCUGUCUAAACCAAAUAUAAUUCAAACUGCAGUGAAGAAAUGCAUGCCUGCUGAAUUUAAUGAAUGCCCUCUCUUGUGUGUGUCUGUUUAAAUGUGAAAAUGUUUACAGAUAUGGUAACUGUGAGUAGCAUCAUGUCAUGUGCUUUCAUAAGGAAAACAGUGAAGAGCAUUACAGAUAGGGUGCAUCUACACCAGGGGACCCCAAACUAAGGCCCGGGGGCCGGAUGCGGCCCAUCGAAGCCAUUUAUCCGGCCCCCACGGCACAAGGACAGAAGGUGGUUGGGCUAAAUGACCCAAGGGGUCUCUUCUUCUCUUACAACCAUUAUUAUUAUUAUUAUUAUCAUCAUCAUCAUUAUUAACAUUAAGGCUGGGUGGCCAUCUGUCAGGGAUGCUUUGCUUGUGCUUUUGGUGCACAAAGGCAGAAAGGGGUUGGACUAAAUGGCCCAAGGGGUCGUCUUCCAACCCUCUUUUUUUAAAUUAUUAUUAUUAUUAUUAUUAUUAUUAUUAUUAUUAUUAUUAUUAUUAACAUUGAGGCUGGGUGGCCAUCUGUCAGGGGUUCUUUGCUUGUGUUUUCAGUGCACAAAGGCAGAAGGGGAUUGGACUCAAUGGCCUAAAGGGUCUUUCCAACCCUCUUUUUUAUUAUUAUUAUUGUUGUUAUUAUUAUUAUUAUUAAUUAUUAUUGCUCGGUGGCCAACCAUAGUUUGGCCCUCCAACGGUCCGAAGGAUCGUGAACCGGCCCCGUUUAAAAAGUUUGGGGACCCCUGAUCUACACGGUAAUGCAGCUUGAAACCAUUUUAACUGCUAUGACUCAAAAUUAUGUAGUCCUUUAUAAAGUGUUUAGCUUUCUCUGCCCAAGAGUGCUGGUGCCUCACCAAAACACAAAUCCAAAUGCCAGAUAGAAUUGAGCCAUGGGGCUUAAAGUGGUGUCAAGCUGCAUUCAUUCUAAAGUGCAGAUGCACCCACAGACUAGCCCAAAAUGCAUGGAACCAAAAGUGGGAUGUUGGAAUAUCCAUUUAUUUACUUACUUCAUGUAUAUCCCACCCUUCUCACCCCGAAGGGGACUCAGAGCAGCCUUAUAAAAUAGGCAGCAAUUUGAUGCCAUCAACAAACAUACAAUAAAAUACACAAUUACAUUAAAACCAGACAUUAAAAACAAGAAAAUUUUAAACCAAUUAUUAAAAUCACAUUAUCCAAAAUCAUAAUUUAAACUUUUCCAUUUGUCAUUUCGCUAUUCCUUUAUUCUCUUACUGCACUAGAAACUUGCUAUCCAAAAGCUGGAUGCCAUAAUCAUGUUUUUACUUUCUUCCUGAAGGUCAGGAGGAAGGAGGCUGCUCUACUUUCACUAGGAAGUUCCAUAACCGAGGGGCCACCACUGAAAAGGCUGUUUUUCAUCCACACCAGCAAAGGAGGUGGGACCGAGAGCAGGGACUCCCCAGAAGAUCUUAAUAUCCGAGGUGGACCAUAGAGGAAGAUACGUUCGGAGAGGCCAAGGACAAGCCACGGGAAUAAAGACGAAGAUCCACCCAAAGGAAACGUGUUCAUCAAGGGAACCACUGACCACAUAGGGAAGCCGAUGAAGGCACACAACCUACAAACUAUCUACAGACCCACUCAGAAAAUGCAACAAAUGGAGUAAUCUUUCUGGAACAAAUGAAAAAGUUUGUAGAAUGGCUCAAGAAUGCUGAAGAAGAAUCUGAGCUGUAGCCAACACCUCCCAACAAAGGAUUCCCACCAGACAGGAAUCAGUCGGUCCUUGAAACUGCAAGGCUUUUUAAUGCUCAUCAAGGUGAUUAAUUGCAACAUUCACAUUUGUCUCCAACAAACAGGAGUACUUUCUCCCACCUGAACAUUCUACAGAUAUAUAAACCCCACUUGACUAGUUUCCAACAUACCUCAUUACCUCUGAGAGGCCUGCCAUAGAUGCAAGCAAAACGUUAGAAGAGAAUGCUUCUGGAACAUAGCCAUAAAGGUAAAGGUUUCCCCUGA
Long non-coding RNA from Anolis carolinensis (green anole), 8029 nucleotides. RefSeq lists it as uncharacterized. The record is from RefSeq and is a predicted model, not a curated record. NCBI's taxonomy places the organism in Eukaryota, Metazoa, Chordata, Lepidosauria, Squamata, Anolidae. The transcript is spliced from 2 exons.